Molecule: long non-coding RNA, 2459 nt
Filed under: Equus caballus (horse)
Lineage: Eukaryota; Metazoa; Chordata; Mammalia; Perissodactyla; Equidae
Description: lncRNA (ENSECAG00000054988.1)
Source: RNAcentral
CGGCGAAAGUUUCUUUGUGGCCUUUUUUGGAGGGAGCUAGUGGGGGCUUCUCGCCGAAGGUGGAGAACGAGCCCUGCGAGUGAGGACGUGACACCCCGCCCCCAUAGAUGGCAGGGAGGCACUUGAUAAACUCGCCUGAGCCAGGUGUGGGGGUGGAAGCAGCAUUCCAUUGCAGCAACGUCUGCUCCCAGAUCAGACUCAGCUGGGGUUCCAGAGGGGAGAUGCUGAAAACGGGGAAGGAAAAGGAGCAAUCUAAAACCAGAGUGCCUCUGGUGCUGGUGGGAGGAGAAUAUCCCAAGGAGCCGGAGCCCCCCCUGAGAUGAAGAGCCAGGCGCCCCUUGGGGACCCCGAGAAAGAGCAACAAGUAGUCCCCUCCGCCGCAGAGCUAUCAGGAGAGUCUGUAUCUGAAGAAGGAAGACAGCUGGGGUUCCAGGAGAAAACUACAGAAGCCAGUCCACACAGUGUGGACUUUGGGGGCUCAGCUGCCAGUUGGUCUGAGCCCUGGAAUGGACUUGCUGUGUGGCCUUGGGAAAACCAUGUAGCCUCUCUGUUCUGUUUGUUUGUGCUAAAUCAUUGCUGAGGCUUCCUCCUGCACCAGUUUUCCAUUGCCGCUGUGAGUGGACAUGAGUCUUGACCAAAUCAUAAGUGCCUAGUUACUGGGAUAAAAAUGAGUUAGAAUCUGGGAUUCUGGUCCUUAACCCCGUGUCACCAUCUGCUGGAGCAGUGUGAUGACAGGGCCAGGUGAAUCAGAGUCACCCAACACUUGUUAUACACGCAGAUUCCUGCUCUGCUCCCUCUCCCACUACCCAUGCCCCACUGAGUCCAAACCUCGAGGGCGGGGCCUAGAAGGCCCCCUUCCUUUAUGGGUUCAUGGAGGGCAGAACAGCGACCCCACCCGGAGCCAGCCAUGCAUCAGUAGCUCUUCCUAUGUAUCAGGCAUGCCAAGGUGGUUUCUGGAAUCUUGUGCUUGUAUUUCCCUCUGCCUAGAAAGAUUUCCCAUAUGGCUGGUUUCUUCUCAUGUGUCACCUGCUCAGAGAGGCCUUGGCUGGCCUCCCCGUCUCUACUCACUAUCCCAUCACGUGUUUCCUUUUCUUCUCAGCACUGUCAUUUUCUGAAGUUCAUCUCAUCUCCUUGUAAAUUAUCUGUUGCUCCUACUGGAACAUAGACCUCCCAUCCCCCCCCACCCCGACUCCCACCCCCAGGGGCAGAAACCCUGCCUGGCUUAUUGGAGGCUAUACCCCAGCACGAGGCCCAUGGGAGGUGCUCAGUAAUAUAAGAAUUCAUGAAUAAAUGGACACUGGAGGAAUCCUCUUAUCUCUGAUGCUGAAGAUGCUUCUCUGAGAUGCAAGAAUGGACACCCUCUCCCUACCCUGGGGGACCUAGGCCUGCCCUGGGCGCGGUUUCUGAGGAAGACGAGGGGCACCUCCUGCCUCCCCACCAUGACCAUUGCUUCCCCAGCACCCAGAGAAGACCUCAGUGGAGCCAGAGCCGCGCAUCCAGCAGAGUCUCAGCUGGGGUUAUAGGACAGGAAAACCUUGACUUCAGGGGCUGUGGACUAAGUUCUCCUUACUUCAUCGUCUCCAAAACCAUGGGUGCCAGUGAAGCUGAGGUUAGAUGUGAACUGAGUGCUGCUUACCCACCAGAUCUUCCCUGCCGCCUGACUUUGACUGGACGGCUGACCUUGACACUUCCCAUACAAGCUUCUCUCUACUUUGCUAACCUGAUAGAACAAUGAUGUCAUAAAGAAACAAAUAGUAGGUGUUUAAUAAAUGCUUGCCAGUGUGAAAUAAGGAAGACAAUUGCAUGAGGACCUCCAAACUCUUCCUUACCCUCCAUCUAUUUAUUGAUAACCAUAAAUUAGUUUGUAAGGUGAGCCCUCAUCCCUUAGUACAGAGUCAGUGGCUUCUUUCUCUUAUUAGCUUUCAGCGAGACACAUCUACAUACAGUUCCUUCGUCACGAAUACCUGCCCCUCCAGGCAUUAUCCUGUUUGCAUCUCAGGAGCAGAAGAGGGAUCAGCAUUUCCUUGAUAUGAAGGAGGAAACUGAGCCUUAGAGGGUUGAAGGACCUGAGGAGACAGCAGGGGGAUUGGGGCUCAAGUCCCAGUGUCCUGACUCCAGGUUUCGUGUUCUUCCCACUCUGCCGUUAUUCUCAUCCAGCUUCCUCUGCAGACACUUCAUAGAGCUGUGACACGGGAAGCAGCGUGGCAGUGCCUCAUCGACUGGCCGUGACAAGGAGAAUUGACUCUCGGGAUAAGGAAAUCAAUGAGGGCUGAGGAGAGCAGCAAGGAAGGAGAGUAGAAGAUGGAGCUGGAGGAAACUGUAGGACUUGGCCAGAGGCCUAUCGAGGGAGAGCCUUCCAGACUCCGCGGGUCCUUGUGUGUGUCGUCCAAAGGGCCACAGAAAAGCCACCAGACACUGUGUUUUCAAGAGCUUAUGGAAGCAGUGAGAACGAGGUAAAU